UUGCGGAACAAGUUCUCAGGGC
RNAcentral lists this microRNA (22 nucleotides) under Gallus gallus (chicken). Its description in RNAcentral is "gga-miR-7458-5p". The record is from miRBase by way of RNAcentral. Lineage: Eukaryota; Metazoa; Chordata; Aves; Galliformes; Phasianidae.